CUAGGUGGUUCUAGCGGUGGGGGUACACCCGAUCCCAUCCCGAACUCGGCAGUAAAGUCCACCAGCGCCGAUGGUAGUCGCAAGGCGAGAGUAGGCCGCCGCCUAGA
Molecule: ribosomal RNA, 107 nt
Filed under: Candidatus Magasanikiibacteriota bacterium
Lineage: Bacteria; Candidatus Magasanikiibacteriota
Source: RNAcentral